UACGUAGGGGCCGAGCGUUGUCCGGAGUUAUUGGGCGUAAAGCGCGCGCAGGCGGCUUCGCGCGCCCGACGUGAAAGCCCCCGGCUUAACCGGGGAGAGUCGUUGGGGACGGCGGGGCUUGAGGGCGGGAGAGGUCGGUGGAAUUCCCGGUGUAGUGGUGAAAUGCGUAGAGAUCGGGAGGAACACCUGUGGCGAAGGCGGCCGACUGGGCCGACCCUGACGCUGAGGCGCGACAGCGUGGGGAGCAAACAGG
This 253-nucleotide ribosomal RNA is filed under the name uncultured bacterium. Its description in RNAcentral is "partial 16S ribosomal RNA". It matches the Rfam family "Bacterial small subunit ribosomal RNA", at positions 524 to 776 of the family's 1533-position model. The record is from RNAcentral.